Molecule: ribosomal RNA, 494 nt
Filed under: uncultured bacterium
Lineage: Bacteria
Description: partial 16S ribosomal RNA
Rfam family: Bacterial small subunit ribosomal RNA
Source: RNAcentral
ACGAACGCUGGCGGCGUGCCUAAUACAUGCAAGUAGAACGCUGAAGGAGGAGCUUGCUCUUCUGGAUGAGUUGCGAACGGGUGAGUAACGCGUAGGUAACCUGCCUGGUAGCGGGGGAUAACUAUUGGAAACGAUAGCUAAUACCGCAUAACAGUAGAUGUUGCAUGACAUUUACUUAAAAGGUGCAAUUGCAUCACUACCAGAUGGACCUGCGUUGUAUUAGCUAGUUGGUGGGGUAACGGCUCACCAAGGCGACGAUACAUAGCCGACCUGAGAGGGUGAUCGGCCACACUGGGACUGAGACACGGCCCAGACUCCUACGGGAGGCAGCAGUAGGGAAUCUUCGGCAAUAGACGGAAGUCUGACCGAGCAACGCCGCGUGAGUGAAGAAGGUUUUCGGAUCGUAAAGCUCUGUUGUAAGAGAAGAACGAGUGUGAGAGUGGAAAGUUCACACUGUGACGGUAUCUUACCAGAAAGGGACGGCUAACUACGUG